This 76-nucleotide transfer RNA is filed under the name Klebsiella pneumoniae. Its description in RNAcentral is "tRNA-Thr(ggt)". It matches the Rfam family "tRNA". From Rfam's summary of the family: Transfer RNA (tRNA) molecules are approximately 80 nucleotides in length. Their secondary structure includes four short double-helical elements and three loops (D, anti-codon, and T loops). Further hydrogen bonds mediate the characteristic L-shaped molecular structure. tRNAs have two regions of fundamental functional importance: the anti-codon, which is responsible for specific mRNA codon recognition, and the 3' end, to which the tRNAs corresponding amino acid is attached (by aminoacyl-tRNA synthetases). tRNAs cope with the degeneracy of the genetic code in two manners: having more than one tRNA (with a specific anti-codon) for a particular amino acid; and 'wobble' base-pairing, i.e. permitting non-standard base-pairing at the 3rd anti-codon position. The record is from RNAcentral. Lineage: Bacteria; Pseudomonadati; Pseudomonadota; Gammaproteobacteria; Enterobacterales; Enterobacteriaceae.
GCUGAUAUGGCUCAGUUGGUAGAGCGCACCCUUGGUAAGGCUGAGGUCCCCAGUUCGACUCUGGGUAUCAGCACCA